Molecule: ribosomal RNA, 581 nt
Filed under: Penicillium sp. 12-20
Lineage: Eukaryota; Fungi; Ascomycota; Eurotiomycetes; Eurotiales; Aspergillaceae
Description: eukaryotic LSU rRNA
Rfam family: 5.8S ribosomal RNA (bases 209-362)
Source: RNAcentral
UCCGUAGGUGAACCUGCGGAAGGAUCAUUACCGAGUGCGGGCCCUCGCGGCCCAACCUCCCACCCUUGUCUCUCUACACCUGUUGCUUUGGCGGGCCCACUGGGGCUCCCUGGUCGCCGGGGGACACCCGUCCCCGGGCCCGCGCCCGCCGAAGCGCUUCGUGAACCCUGAUGAAGAAGGGCUGUCUGAGUACUAUGAAAAUUGUCAAAACUUUCAACAAUGGAUCUCUUGGUUCCGGCAUCGAUGAAGAACGCAGCGAAAUGCGAUAAGUAAUGUGAAUUGCAGAAUUCCGUGAAUCAUCGAAUCUUUGAACGCACAUUGCGCCCCCUGGCAUUCCGGGGGGCAUGCCUGUCCGAGCGUCAUUUCUGCCCUCAAGCACGGCUUGUGUGUUGGGUGUGGUCCCCCCGGGGACCUGCCCGAAAGGCAGCGGCGACGUCCGUCUGGUCCUCGAGCGUAUGGGGCUCUGUCACUCGCUCGGGAAGGACCUGCGGGGGUUGGUCACCACCACAUUUUCCAUUAUGGUUGACCUCGGAUCAGGUAGGAGUUACCCGCUGAACUUAAGCAUAUCAAUAAGCGGAGGA